RNAcentral lists this non-coding RNA (29 nucleotides) under Homo sapiens (human). Lineage: Eukaryota; Metazoa; Chordata; Mammalia; Primates; Hominidae. The record is from RNAcentral.
UCCAGCAACUCUCGCCUCCCCUGAUUUAG